GACGAACGCUGGCGGCGUGCCUAACACAUGCAAGUCGAACGAGAUCCAGAGGUGCUUGCACCUUGAAGAUCUAGUGGCGAACGGGUGAGUAGCACGUGAGCAACCUGCCCCGAAGACCGGGACAACAGUGGGAAACCGCUGCUAAUACCGGAUACCCCCAUCGGAUCACAUGGUCUGAUGAGGAAAUGGAUUCCGCUUCGGGAGGGGCUCGCGGCCUAUCAGCUUGUUGGUGGGGUAAUGGCCCACCAAGGCUUCGACGGGUAGCUGGUCUGAGAGGACGAUCAGCCACACUGGGACUGAGACACGGCCCAGACUCCUACGGGAGGCAGCAGUGGGGAAUCUUGCACAAUGGGCGAAAGCCUGAUGCAGCAACGCCGCGUGAGGGACGAAUGCUUUCUGAGUUGUAAACCUCUUUCAGCAGGGACGAUUGUGACGGUACCUGCAGAAGAAGCACCGGCCAACUGCGUGCCAGCAGCCGCGGUGAUACGUAGGGUGCAAGCGUUGUCCGGAUUUAUUGGGCGUAAAGAGCUCGUAGGCGGUUUGAUAAGUCGGAUGUGAAAUCUCCAGGCUCAACCUGGAGCUGCCAUUUGAUACUGUCAUGACUAGAGUUUGGUAGGGGAUCACGGAAUUCCUGGUGUAGCGGUGGAAUGCGCAGAUAUCAGGAGGAACACCAGUAGCGAAGGCGGUGAUCUGGGCCAAUACUGACGCUGAGGAGCGAAAGCGUGGGGAGCGAACAGGAUUAGAUACCCUGGUAGUCCACGCCGUAAACGGUGGGCACUAGGUGUGGGGACUAUUCAACGGUUUCCGCGCCGACGCU
RNAcentral lists this ribosomal RNA (817 nucleotides) under uncultured bacterium. RNAcentral describes it as "bacterial SSU rRNA". It matches the Rfam family "Bacterial small subunit ribosomal RNA", at positions 28 to 853 of the family's 1533-position model. The record is from RNAcentral.